Molecule: non-coding RNA, 97 nt
Organism: Nicotiana sylvestris (wood tobacco)
Lineage: Eukaryota; Viridiplantae; Streptophyta; Magnoliopsida; Solanales; Solanaceae
Source: Rfam
UGGACAGAUUAUUGUAUUCGACUGUAUUCACGACGUGAAAUAGGGGAUUGCACUGUUUUUAAAACGGAAAGUGAAUCAAUUAACACAAUAGACUCCU